RNAcentral lists this ribosomal RNA (467 nucleotides) under uncultured bacterium. Its description in RNAcentral is "partial 16S ribosomal RNA". It matches the Rfam family "Bacterial small subunit ribosomal RNA", at positions 28 to 507 of the family's 1533-position model. The record is from RNAcentral.
GACGAACGCUGGCGGCGUGCUUAACACAUGCAAGUCGAACGGAAAGGCCCGCUUUUGUGGGGUUGUCGGGGUGGGAACGGGUUAGGAACACGUUAGUUAACCGCCCUUUACUUUUGGGUUACUUUCAGAAACCGGGGCCUAUUCCGGAUAGGGGGCUCUUCCUCCUUGGUGGGGGUGGAAAGUUUCGGCGGUUGGGGAUGGACUCGCGGCUUAUCAGCUUGUUGGUGGGGUAGUGGCUUACCAAGGCUUUGACGGGUAGCCGGCCUGAGAGGGUGACCGGCCACAUUGGGACUGAGAUACGGCCCAGACUCCUACGGGAGGCAGCAGUGGGGAAUAUUGCACAAUGGGCGGAAGCCUGAUGCAGCAACGCCGCGUGCGGGAUGACGGCCUUCGGGUUGUAAACCGCUUUCGCCUGUGACGAAGCGUGAGUGACGGUAAUGGGUAAAGAAGCACCGGCUAACUACGUG